RNAcentral lists this ribosomal RNA (253 nucleotides) under Ruminococcus champanellensis 18P13 = JCM 17042. RNAcentral's name for it is "partial 16S ribosomal RNA". It matches the Rfam family "Bacterial small subunit ribosomal RNA", at positions 524 to 776 of the family's 1533-position model. The record is from RNAcentral. Lineage: Bacteria; Bacillati; Bacillota; Clostridia; Eubacteriales; Oscillospiraceae.
UACGUAGGGAGCGAGCGUUGUCCGGAAUUACUGGGUGUAAAGGGGGCGUAGGCGGGAUCGCAAGUCAGAUGUGAAAACUAUGGGCUUAACCCAUAAACUGCAUUUGAAACUGUGGUUCUUGAGUGAAGUAGAGGUAAGCGGAAUUCCUAGUGUAGCGGUGAAAUGCGUAGAUAUUAGGAGGAACAUCAGUGGCGAAGGCGGCUUACUGGGCUUUAACUGACGCUGAGGCUCGAAAGCGUGGGGAGCAAACAGG